Molecule: ribosomal RNA, 464 nt
Filed under: uncultured bacterium
Lineage: Bacteria
Description: bacterial SSU rRNA
Rfam family: Bacterial small subunit ribosomal RNA
Source: RNAcentral
AAUCAACGCUGGCGGCGUGCCUAACACAUGCAAGUCGAACGAGAAAGUGGAGCAAUCCAUGAGUAAAGUGGCGCACGGGUGAGUAACACGUGACUAACCUACCCUUGAGUGGGGGAUAACCUAGGGAAACCUGGGCUAAUACCGCAUAAUACCUACGGGUCAAAGGAGCAAUUCGCUUUAGGAGGGGGUCGCGGCAGAUUAGUUAGUUGGCGGGGUAAUGGCCCACCAAGACGAUGANCUGUAUCCGGCCUGAGAGGGCGCACGGACACACUGGAACUGAAACACGGUCCAGACUCCUACGGGAGGCAGCAGUGGGGAAUUUUGCGCAAUGGGGGAAACCCUGACGCAGCAACGCCGCGUGGAGGAUGAAGACCCUUGGGUCGUAAACUCCUUUCGAUCGGGACGAUAAUGACGGUACCGGAAGAAGAAGCCCCGGCUAACUUCGUGCCAGCAGCCGCGGUAAC